GGACGAUUAGCUCAGUUGGCUAGAGCGUCUCAUUUACACUGAGAAGGUCUGGGGUUCAAGUCCCUAAUCGUCCA
This 74-nucleotide transfer RNA is filed under the name Patescibacteria group bacterium. RNAcentral describes it as "tRNA-Val". It matches the Rfam family "tRNA". From Rfam's summary of the family: Transfer RNA (tRNA) molecules are approximately 80 nucleotides in length. Their secondary structure includes four short double-helical elements and three loops (D, anti-codon, and T loops). The record is from RNAcentral.